This 465-nucleotide ribosomal RNA is filed under the name Vreelandella stevensii. RNAcentral's name for it is "partial 16S ribosomal RNA". It matches the Rfam family "Bacterial small subunit ribosomal RNA", at positions 338 to 795 of the family's 1533-position model. Lineage: Bacteria; Pseudomonadati; Pseudomonadota; Gammaproteobacteria; Oceanospirillales; Halomonadaceae. The record is from RNAcentral.
CCUACGGGAGGCAGCAGUGGGGAAUAUUGGACAAUGGGGGGAACCCUGAUCCAGCCAUGCCGCGUGUGUGAAGAAGGCCCUCGGGUUGUAAAGCACUUUCAGUGAGGAAGAACGCCUGGUGGUUAAUACCCAUCAGGAAAGACAUCACUCACAGAAGAAGCACCGGCUAACUCCGUGCCAGCAGCCGCGGUAAUACGGAGGGUGCGAGCGUUAAUCGGAAUUACUGGGCGUAAAGCGCGCGUAGGUGGCUUGAUAAGCCGGUUGUGAAAGCCCCGGGCUCAACCUGGGAACGGCAUCCUGAACUGUCAAGCUAGAGUGCAGGAGAGGAAGGUAGAAUUCCCGGUGUAGCGGUGAAAUGCGUAGAGAUCGGGAGGAAUACCAGUGGCGAAGGCGGCCUUCUGGACUGACACUGACACUGAGGUGCGAAAGCGUGGGUAGCAAACAGGAUUAGAUACCCCUGUAGUC